Molecule: transfer RNA, 73 nt
Filed under: Candidatus Competibacter denitrificans Run_A_D11
Lineage: Bacteria; Pseudomonadati; Pseudomonadota; Gammaproteobacteria; Candidatus Competibacteraceae
Rfam family: tRNA
About the family: Transfer RNA (tRNA) molecules are approximately 80 nucleotides in length. Their secondary structure includes four short double-helical elements and three loops (D, anti-codon, and T loops).
Source: Rfam by way of RNAcentral
GCCCAUAUAGCUCAGUCGGUAGAGCGCAUCCUUGGUAAGGAUGAGGUCACCAGUUCAAAUCUGGUUAUGGGCU